RNAcentral lists this ribosomal RNA (473 nucleotides) under uncultured organism. RNAcentral describes it as "partial 16S ribosomal RNA". It matches the Rfam family "Bacterial small subunit ribosomal RNA", at positions 335 to 799 of the family's 1533-position model. The record is from RNAcentral.
ACUCCUGCGGGAGGCAGCAGUGGGGAAUAUUGCACAAUGGGCGCAAGCCUGAUGCAGCCAUGCCGCGUGUAUGAAGAAGGCCUUCGGGUUGUAAAGUACUUUCAGCGGGGAGGAAGGCGAUAAGGUUAAUAACCUUGUUGAUUGACGUUACCCGCAGAAGAAGCACCGGCUAACUCCGUGCCAGCAGCCGCGGUAAUACGGAGGGUGCAAGCGUUAAUCGGAAUUACUGGGCGUAAAGCGCACGCAGGCGGUCUGUCAAGUCGGAUGUGAAAUCCCCGGGCUCAACCUGGGAACUGCAUUCGAAACUGGCAGGCUAGAGUCUUGUAGAGGGGGGUAGAAUUCCAGGUGUAGCGGUGAAAUGCGUAGAGAUCUGGAGGAAUACCGGUGGCGAAGGCGGCCCCCUGGACAAAGACUGACGCUCAGGUGCGAAAGCGUGGGGAGCAAACAGGAUUAGAUACCCGUGUAGUCCCAUG